ACAUCACCAACGAGACUCAAACCAAUCUCUAACACCGGUGAACUAGCUGGUCAAUCCAAUAAGCCAAUCUCUGACACCGGUGAACUAGCUGAUCAAUCCAAUAAGCUCAAGCACGAGAAAAGAUGAGAUUAAUAGUGACUGUGGACAGCUUCAUGAUGAAUUUUGCAUGGAGGAUUAACAAAUGGCAAACGCCAAACGCAAGCUAGUAGGAGCUAUUUCCGGCUGUCCAUUUCCAUCUUUCUAUUUUUCCAGACACGGCCCCAAAAUGUGUCAUGACUGUGUCUCGCCGUUACUGUCUUGGAAACAUUUCCAUAAUUAGGAAACGCUAGUGAUUGGAGUUUCCGUACUUUACAGUCUUCGGUCUCCUCCCCCCUACUAUUUUCCAUGAUAGAUGGAAAGAGGCACAAGCAAGGCAAAAAUCUAGUUCAUAACUGCAAUCUUUGCAAUCAAUCAAAUAACCAAGCCAUGAACCGAGAAUGCAAUAAUGUCCCUAUUCCAAGCUUAGGUGGUACGAUCAUGAAAUUGCUAAGAACUUACUUUACUAAAUGAAUAGGAGGCAUUAGUUCUCUUCUUCGCAUCUUCCCAUAAAAGGUCAGUCAAGUAUCAACCAAAAUUUAUUCACAAAUUAAUCAAAAACAUAUAGCACACUCAUAUCUAUCAUGUACAGAAAGGAAAGAAAGAAAAGAAACCAGUUAAAGUAGGUACUGAUAUAUCCCAGUAGAAAAGUUGGAAUCAAAGAUAAUUUAGUUAAAAGAAAUGUGUAGAAAAGUUUAUCAGAACAUGUUCACGGUCAAAUCUUUGUGUUUAUCCACACAUCACAACCCAACAAAUAUGUCCAUUAAGUACUAAUUUGCAGCAAAACCUCAACAAGUAGAUUUUCCUGAUACCAUAAGCAAUUUCUAGAUAUUACCACCCCUCAGGGCAAGAACAAGAUGAAGCACAGAGCCACCCUCAAUGUUGUAAUCACGAGCUGUCUUGUCAUCUGCAAGCUGCUUACCAGCAUAAAUAAGCCUUUGCUGAACUGGAGGAAUUCCUUCCUUCUCCUCAACUCGUUCUUUGAUCCGAUCAAUGGUAUCAGUGGGCUCGAUGUCAAUUUCAAUUUCUUUCCCAGUGAGGGUCUUCACUUUAAUCAUAGUUCCUCCUCUAAGCCUCAAAACCAGGUGAAGAGUUGACUCCUUCUGGAUGUUGUAAUCAGAAAGGGUUCUACCAUCUUCCAACUGUUUCCCAGCAAAAAUUAAUCUCUGCUGAUCAGGAGGAAUGCCUUCCUUGUCCUGAAAAGUCAAAUCCACAAAUAGAUACCUCUGAUUUCAUCAACUCACAACAAAAGACUAACAAGAGAGCAGCCCCAAGAGAAAUAAAAGAAGGUGAGCCAACAGCUCAUUAGAAUAUCAAACAGGUAAAUAAAACAAUUAUGUAAAACGGCCACUAGAAACUUUUACUAGAAAAAAAAAUUCAAUGAUUAUUUCUCAGCAACAAAACACAAACCAAAUCAUCAUAACGAACAAAAUUAGAUCCACGGGAUAUUAAGUAAUUAGAAUCGGUAAAGAUAAUUACAAUAGGCAAACCUCAAAGAAACAAUUUUUCAUCAAAAGAAACAGACCCAGAAAGAAAAAUAGAAGGAUAAAGAAGAAAAAGAAAAAAAAAUUGGAGAAAAAGGGUACCUGAAUCUUGGCUUUGACGUUGU
RNAcentral lists this unclassified non-coding RNA (1684 nucleotides) under Hevea brasiliensis (rubber tree). The record is from RNAcentral. Lineage: Eukaryota; Viridiplantae; Streptophyta; Magnoliopsida; Malpighiales; Euphorbiaceae.